Non-coding RNA from Vicia faba (fava bean), 240 nucleotides. Lineage: Eukaryota; Viridiplantae; Streptophyta; Magnoliopsida; Fabales; Fabaceae. The record is from the annotation of a GenBank genome assembly.
AUGAUGGACGAUGUUGACAAGUUUAAUGUGAUUUCCCUUGUCAUCAAAGUUUCAUUAUUUUUCUCUCUCCCAAAUCUUGAUUCAGACAACAAUGCCCCAUCGCUGCAGAUCCAAGUCCCCAUUAUCUCUGCUUUUCAUUCUUCCAUUCCACCACAAUCUCAACAAAAUCACUUUUCGAUUUCAAUGACUCUCACUUUCGCUUUUCUACAUCGGGAAGAUGCCGAUCGUGUGUCUCUGUGA